GGCCCAGACUCCUGCGCGAGGCAGCAGUGCGGAAUUUU
Molecule: ribosomal RNA, 38 nt
Filed under: uncultured bacterium
Lineage: Bacteria
Description: partial 16S ribosomal RNA
Source: RNAcentral